This 679-nucleotide small RNA is filed under the name Limulus polyphemus (Atlantic horseshoe crab). Its description in RNAcentral is "c-reactive protein 1.4-like". The record is from RNAcentral. Lineage: Eukaryota; Metazoa; Arthropoda; Merostomata; Xiphosura; Limulidae.
CAUCAGGUGUCCACAGUUGCAUCUUGUAAUGGCAUCAGACCACGUGGAAAUGUCAUCUCUUGGAUGGAAGAUUCAUUUGUAGCAGACGAUGGAGUGAUUGUUGGAAUUUCCCACAUGUGUAGUUUAUAAGACUUUACUGAGUACCUGAAAGUUCCAAUUAUCUCGUUAAGAGAUGUAAAAAUAGUUUAUCAGUUUUGAACUUACAAAACUGCAAACGGCUAUAGGUAUGCAUUUAUACUUUUCAUUAUUUUAGUUUUCAAGUCUUAUUAUUUUACAUUGAAAUAAAUUAGCCAUACAAGCAAAUGGGUUUGAUGAAUGAUUAAAUAAUUGUAAAUAUCACUGUGGUGAAGUACUAAAAUAAUCUAAAUUUAAAACUUGAUUAUCAGUGUGAACCUAUCUAGAAAUACUCUGUUUAGACUCUAUCUUUUUUUUAAACAAGCUGCAUCUGUCUUGUUCCUACAUGUUAUUAAAUUCAAACCUCGAUCCAAGAAGAUCGGGAACAUGCUUUUUUGAGUUUUAUAAAAAUAAUAUGAAAAUCUUCAACUAUAACAAAAAUUAUGUUAUCAAGAGCCUUUUUUUUAUUUCAAAUUUAAUUAUUUGAUCAGAAGACGACCCUGACCUAUAUACUCUUAAAUGACGCUUAUCUAUAUGUAUAGCUAGUUUAGUUUGAUCAGAAGAC